This 127-nucleotide small RNA is filed under the name Marmota monax (woodchuck). The record is from RNAcentral. Lineage: Eukaryota; Metazoa; Chordata; Mammalia; Rodentia; Sciuridae.
GCUGGGCAUGGUGGCUCAUGCCUGUAAUUCUAGCAGCUCAGGAGGCUGAGGCAAGAGGAUGGCAAGUUUGAGGUCAAUCUCAACAAUUUAGCAAGGCCCUAAGCAACUUAGUGUGACCUUGCCUUGG